CGAACGCUGGCGGCAGGCUUAACACAUGCAAGUCGAGCGGGGAAAGGUAGCUUGCUACUGGACCUAGCGGCGGACGGGUGAGUAAUGCUUAGGAAUCUGCCUAUUAGUGGGGGACAACAUCUCGAAAGGGAUGCUAAUACCGCAUACGUCCUACGGGAGAAAGCAGGGGAUCUUCGGACCUUGCGCUAAUAGAUGAGCCUAAGUCGGAUUAGCUAGUUGGUGGGGUAAAGGCCUACCAAGGCGACGAUCUGUAGCGGGUCUGAGAGGAUGAUCCGCCACACUGGGACUGAGACACGGCCCA
This 301-nucleotide ribosomal RNA is filed under the name uncultured Acinetobacter sp. Its description in RNAcentral is "bacterial SSU rRNA". It matches the Rfam family "Bacterial small subunit ribosomal RNA", at positions 30 to 333 of the family's 1533-position model. The record is from RNAcentral. Lineage: Bacteria; Pseudomonadati; Pseudomonadota; Gammaproteobacteria; Moraxellales; Moraxellaceae.